AGUGUUGACAAAAAACAACGAAUUCGGAUGAUAAACCUUGUGUCCUCAGAUUCUGCUACAAAUGCCUCUUGGAUACGGGGAGAAGGCAUAAGAAGCUAUGAAGCACGGACACUCCUUGGAUAAGGCGUGUUCCCGUGUCAGACACGUGUCGUGUCGUGUCCGACACCAACACAUAUAAUUGCACUGCAUUUUGUGAUUUUCUAAAAAAUUUAGCUGUGUCGGUGUCCGUGUCGUGCCCGGUGUCGGUGUCCGUAUCCGUGCAUACAUGUUGAAGUAUUUUAUAUGUCCAAAGUGUACAACGAUUUACAACUGCAGAAGUUGCAUGUAAUUUAUAGUUAUAAUGAAAUUUGAGUUUGUGUUCUAUUCA
Medicago truncatula (barrel medic) is the source of this 367-nucleotide long non-coding RNA. RefSeq lists it as uncharacterized. The transcript is spliced from 2 exons. The record is from RefSeq and is a predicted model, not a curated record. NCBI's taxonomy places the organism in Eukaryota, Viridiplantae, Streptophyta, Magnoliopsida, Fabales, Fabaceae.